RNAcentral lists this ribosomal RNA (402 nucleotides) under uncultured bacterium. RNAcentral's name for it is "bacterial SSU rRNA". It matches the Rfam family "Bacterial small subunit ribosomal RNA", at positions 355 to 774 of the family's 1533-position model. The record is from RNAcentral.
UAGGGAAUCUUGGACAAUGGGCGAAAGCCUGAUCCAGCCAUGCCGCGUGAGUGAUGAAGGCCUUAGGGUUGUAAAGCUCUUUCGCCAGGGAAGAUAAUGACGGUACCUGGAUAAGAAGCCCCGGCUAACUUCGUGCCAGCAGCCGCGGUAAUACGAAGGGGGCUAGCGUUGUUCGGAAUUACUGGGCGUAAAGCGCACGUAGGCGGCUUUCCAAGUUGGAGGUGAAAUCCCCGGGCUUAACCCGGGAACUGCCUCCAAAACUGAAAGGCUAGAGUCCGAGAGAGGUGAGUGGAAUUUCCAGUGUAGAGGUGAAAUUCGUAGAUAUUGGAAAGAACACCAGUGGCGAAGGCGGCUCACCGGCUCGGUACUGACGCUGAGGUGCGACAGCGUGGGGAGCAAACA